UACGGGGGGGGCAAGCGUUGUUCGGAAUGACUGGGCGUAAAGGGCGCGUAGGCGGCUCAUACAGUCAGAUGUGAAAUUCCUGGGCUUAACCUGGGGGCUGCAUUUGAUACGUGUGGGCUUGAGUGGGGAAGAGGGUCGUGGAAUUCCCAGUGUAGAGGUGAAAUUCGUAGAUAUUGGGAAGAACACCGGUGGCGAAGGCGGCGACCUGGUCCUUGACUGACGCUGAGGCGCGAAAGCGUGGGGAGCAAACAGG
This 253-nucleotide ribosomal RNA is filed under the name uncultured bacterium. RNAcentral's name for it is "partial 16S ribosomal RNA". It matches the Rfam family "Bacterial small subunit ribosomal RNA", at positions 524 to 776 of the family's 1533-position model. The record is from RNAcentral.